UACGGAGGGUGCGAGCGUUGUCCGAAAUCACUGGGCGUAAAGGGCGCGUAGGCGGCUUUGCAAGGGGGCGGUGAAAGCCCGGGGCUCAACCCCGGGUCAGCCGAACCGACUGUGAGGCUGGACCACACUAGGGGCUCGUGGAAUUCCGGGUGUAGCGGUGGAAUGCGUAGAUAUCGGGAGGAACACCAGUGGCGAAGGCGAUCAUCUGGGGUUGUUCUGACACUGAGGAGCGAAAGCUAGGGGAGCAAACGGG
Molecule: ribosomal RNA, 253 nt
Filed under: uncultured bacterium
Lineage: Bacteria
Description: partial 16S ribosomal RNA
Rfam family: Bacterial small subunit ribosomal RNA
Source: RNAcentral